AGUUUGAUCCUGGCUCAGGAUGAACGCUAGCUACAGGCUUAACACAUGCAAGUCGAGGGGCAGCAUGGUCUUAGCUUGCUAAGGCCGAUGGCGACCGGCGCACGGGUGAGUAACACGUAUCCAACCUGCCGUCUACUCUUGGACAGCCUUCUGAAAGGAAGAUUAAUACAAGAUGGCAUCAUGAGUUCACAUGUUCACAUGAUUAAAGGUAUUCCGGUAGACGAUGGGGAUGCGUUCCAUUAGAUAGUAGGCGGGGUAACGGCCCACCUAGUCUUCGAUGGAUAGGGGUUCUGAGAGGAAGGUCCCCCACAUUGGAACUGAGACACGGUCCAAACUCCUACGGGAGGCAGCAGUGAGGAAUAUUGGUCAAUGGGCGCAGGCCUGAACCAGCCAAGUAGCGUGAAGGAUGACUGCCCUAUGGGUUGUAAACUUCUUUUAUAAAGGAAUAAAGUCGGGUAUGUAUACCCGUUUGCAUGUACUUUAUGAAUAAGGAUCGGCUAACUCCGUGCCAGCAGCCGCGGUAAUACGGAGGAUCCGAGCGUUAUCCGGAUUUAUUGGGUUUAAAGGGAGCGUAGAUGGAUGUUUAAGUCAGUUGUGAAAGUUUGCGGCUCAACCGUAAAAUUGCAGUUGAUACUGGAUAUCUUGAGUGCAGUUGAGGCAGGCGGAAUUCGUGGUGUAGCGGUGAAAUGCUUAGAUAUCACGAAGAACUCCGAUUGCGAAGGCAGCCUGCUAAGCUGCAACUGACAUUGAGGCUCGAAAGUGUGGGUAUCAAACAGGAUUAGAUACCCUGGUAGUCCACACGGUAAACGAUGAAUACUCGCUGUUUGCGAUAUACGGCAAGCGGCCAAGCGAAAGCGUUAAGUAUUCCACCUGGGGAGUACGCCGGCAACGGUGAAACUCAAAGGAAUUGACGGGGGCCCGCACAAGCGGAGGAACAUGUGGUUUAAUUCGAUGAUACGCGAGGAACCUUACCCGGGCUUAAAUUGCAGAUGAAUUACGGUGAGAGCCGUAAGCCGCAAGGCAUCUGUGAAGGUGCUGCAUGGUUGUCGUCAGCUCGUGCCGUGAGGUGUCGGCUUAAGUGCCAUAACGAGCGCAACCCUUGUUGUCAGUUACUAACAGGUUUCGCUGAGGACUCUGACAAGACUGCCAUCGUAAGAUGUGAGGAAGGUGG
This 1171-nucleotide ribosomal RNA is filed under the name uncultured Bacteroides sp. RNAcentral describes it as "bacterial SSU rRNA". It matches the Rfam family "Bacterial small subunit ribosomal RNA", at positions 10 to 1176 of the family's 1533-position model. Lineage: Bacteria; Pseudomonadati; Bacteroidota; Bacteroidia; Bacteroidales; Bacteroidaceae. The record is from RNAcentral.